Molecule: ribosomal RNA, 495 nt
Filed under: uncultured bacterium
Lineage: Bacteria
Description: partial 16S ribosomal RNA
Rfam family: Bacterial small subunit ribosomal RNA
Source: RNAcentral
GAUGAACGCUGGCGGCGUGCCUAAUACAUGCAAGUAGAACGCUGAAGGAGGAGCUUGCUCUUCUGGAUGAGUUGCGAACGGGUGAGUAACGCGUAGGUAACAUGCCUGGUAGCGGGGGAUAACUAUUGGAAACGAUAGCUAAUACCGCAUGACAACAGUUAUUGCAUGAUAACUGUUUAAAAGGGGCAACUGCUCCACUACCAGAUGGACCUGCGUUGUAUUAGCUAGUUGGUGAGGUAACGGCUCACCAAGGCGACGAUACAUAGCCGACCUGAGAGGGUGAUCGGCCACACUGGGACUGAGACACGGCCCAGACUCCUACGGGAGGCAGCAGUAGGGAAUCUUCGGCAAUGGACGGAAGUCUGACCGAGCAACGCCGCGUGAGUGAAGAAGGUUUUCGGAUCGUAAAGCUCUGUUGUAAGAGAAGAACGAGUGUGAGAGUGGAAAGUUCACACUGUGACGGUAUCUUACCAGAAAGGGACGGCUAACUACGUG